Long non-coding RNA from Gossypium arboreum, 1552 nucleotides. RefSeq lists it as uncharacterized. The record is from RefSeq and is a predicted model, not a curated record. The transcript has 4 exons. NCBI's taxonomy places the organism in Eukaryota, Viridiplantae, Streptophyta, Magnoliopsida, Malvales, Malvaceae.
CAAUCUCUUUGAACAGUCAACUGUUAAAUGUAACUUUUGUCCCCUUUAAUCUCUCCUUUUUAAAACGAUGUGAUCAAAGGGAUUCAUCUAAAAGGUAAUGAGACUAUGGGUUUGGUGGGUUGUUUACUAGGAACCAUUGGCUUCGGUAUUGGAGUUCUCAUUGGUUUGUUCGUUGGCUUUCUCUUAUUCAUUUACAACGAGCCUGCAGACGUAAAGGAUCCAAUAAUCUGACCACUUCAUGAUUUGGAUACCAUCUCUCUGCUUGAUAUUUUGCCUGAGAUUCCUUUAUGGACGAAGCAUCCUGAUUAUGAUCGAGUUGGAACACAUGACAAGUUGGGAAUGCAAAUAGUUCCACUAAGAUUGCUCACUCCUCAUAAAACACAAGAAUCGUCAUUUAAUUUAGUCAAGAACACAAACCCUAAUGACUCUCAAAACAAGAAGCGAAGAGGAUAGCUAGUGGUGCAGAUGACAUUUAAUCCUUUCAAAGAGGAUAAUGAAAGAUUUAGUGGUCCUUUAGAAAGAUAUGCAAGUAACGAAAGUGAUGUCAGUAGGCUACCCAUACCUGAUGGGUCCAUUUGUGGAGCCCGUUUUCUUUCUGUUAUGAUUCAAAGAGCUGAAGAUGUUGAAGGAAAGUAUCAUCACAACCCUUAUGCUUUGAUUAUUUUCAAAGAAAAAAGAAGAAAACCAAAGUGAAAAUCUAGUUCCCUUUUUUGACAUUUUAUCUCAAAGCAUUAAUUGCCAAAUUCCUUUUUACUGUUUUACAUGGACAUGGGAAUAUGGGGCAUUAUACCCUGUUGUAGCAAUCAUAAUAUUGUUGAAAAACAAAUCUUUUCAUUUCCUAUAAACUUUUUAGCAUUCAGCUUAUAAUUUAAUUCGUUAUCCACGCUUAUAUUAUGUUACGUUUUUCAUUUAACUGAUCAAGAAAAUAAAAAAUUCAUAUUGAAACGAAAAAUUUUAAUUUAUGUUAGAAGAGACACUUUUAAAAAAUAUGAUCUAUAUCGAUUAUAUUUUAAUCACUUUCGACAGAAAGUUUAGAUAUCAUGUCACUUUCUUUUUUUGUAACUUCAAUUUUUUUAUUUUUUUAAAAAAUAUGUGUAUCUUAUAUUAUUAUGUUGUGUUUGAUACAUAUUUGAACGUGGGUACGAGGGUACAAUCCUCUAAAUAUUGAGAGAAUUUUUUUCUCCUACUUGUAAUGAAAUAUGCAGUCUCUGAUCUUCCUGUGGUCUUUUUCUAGGAAUCACUGGGGCAUGUAGAUAUCAAUCUUAUGAUGUAAUUUUCAAUGGACACAUCAACGAGAAGUAUGGUGUGAUAUGCAUUGGUAUAUGAUGGGAACUGCCUUGAGAAGAAUCAAAUUAUAGCAAGAGAUUUAUAUGAUAAAUGCAACAACGUUGAGGAAAUAAAAAAUACGGUGAUGUUUAGCGGGGCUGUUGUUGGUGUUCAUCUUUUCUCUAUAGUUUCCACUUCAAACUUAGCUUUGGAACUUUUUUUAUAAAUCCACAACUAUUUUCAUUUGUUUUACCGUCUAAGAUUAAUUUUAUUUGGGUAAAAAUAA